GUGUAUGUAGCUCAGUGGUGAGCAUUUGCCUGGCAUGUGUGAGGCUCUGGGUUCCAUUCCCAGCACAGUACA
Non-coding RNA from Heterocephalus glaber (naked mole-rat), 72 nucleotides. The record is from Rfam. NCBI's taxonomy places the organism in Eukaryota, Metazoa, Chordata, Mammalia, Rodentia, Bathyergidae.